CCUCGCCCCCCGCGCUCACACACUAGCUGCCUUCACAGGAAGGGCGCGGCUGUUUGCAUAGAUGAUGAAGCAGAUGGGUUAUCUUGUCCAAAAGAUAAAAAUGCGCAUUUCCCUUCUAAAGUAUGGAACCUCAAGGUCUUGGUGAGAAUGGAAACAAAAAAAUUGAUUGGCAAAUCGCUUCAACCAGCAAGACCUGUUCGUCAUCUGACUUCUCCCUCUGGAGCAGUAUUCCCUUUCAACUUUCAAAAUGAAUAUCCAUGCAACACUCAGUACUUGCAAAGCGGAGUUAGCCGAUGUAAGACGAAUGGAAUGCAGGCCUUUUCUCCGGGCCUCAGCGAGCAAACGCAACAUCAGUCUCCAGUUAAAAAAGAGAGAAUUAAAUACAGCAGAGAUUUCCUGUUGAAGCUCUCCAGUGUUUCCAUCUGCAGGAAAAAACCAGACUUUCUUCCUGAUCAUCCCAUUGUACUUCAAAAACCAGAAAACAACCAAAGUUUUAAGGAGCACUUUAAGAACAGAUGAAUUUGAAGAUAGAUAAUUAUUUGUUUUAUGUUUUGGACACCUGCAAAUGAAGUGGAUCUAGUAACAAUAACUACCAGCACUGAGAGGGUCUCUUCAACCUGUGGCUGAGGACGCGUCUGCGCAGGGCAGGCUCAGUGACACGGGGGCAUGUUUAGAUCGUCUUUGCAGAUAGAUGUCUCCAAUAACAUUGUCUAAGGGUCACCGUUACCAGCAAAGGGUGACAAUUUGGAAACAAUAGCAGUGAACAAAACUGAAGGUGAAACGUGCUGAUCAGACCCCAUGAACAAAAGUAAUUGCAAAACCCAUUCUUAUUUCCAAAGAGGAAAAAUUAGGCGUUUGCAACCAGUUGAGGUGCAUUAAGAUUCAGUUCUGUAAUUUCUUUUAUUUCUUAUAACAAGAAUAUGUAUAGAUGAAGAAUUUGAGGGCUUAAAAACUUUUAGUUCCUGGAAUUUUUAUACCAUCUCUUGGAAUUUGUCACUCUGGGUAUGACUUCUAGUCCUAAAGGUUCACUCCAGCACAGUGCCAAACAGUAUCACUGACAGAAAG
Molecule: RNA transcript, 1065 nt
Organism: Myotis lucifugus (little brown bat)
Lineage: Eukaryota; Metazoa; Chordata; Mammalia; Chiroptera; Vespertilionidae
Gene: CUNH8orf88
Gene name: chromosome unknown C8orf88 homolog
Exons: 6
Source: RefSeq, a predicted model, not a curated record